GAGGGCCGACGGCCCGCCGCUCCGGGCGCGGGCGCAAGCCCGCGGCCGGGGAGGAAAGUCCGAGCUCCGCAGGACAGGGUGGUUCCUAACGGGAACCGGUUUCGCGCGCAAGCGCGGGGCCAGGGACAGCGCAACAGAAAAUACACCGCCUCCCGGCGGCUGGGCCGCCGCGGGGCAAGGGUGAAAAGGCGGGGUAAGAGCCCACCGGCGCGGCGGCGACGCCGCGGCCUGGCAAGCCCCACCCGGAGAAAGGCCAAAUGGCGGUGCGUGGGCUCCGGCCCCCACGCCGGUCCGGCUGAAGUCCCGCGAAAGCGGGAUCGCACCCAGGUAGGCCGUUCGAGGGCCGCCGUGAGGCGGCUCCCAGAGAAAUGGCGGGCUCCCCGCCGUCGCCGCAAGGCGACCGCGGGCAGACAGAACUCGGCUUAUGUCGGCCUUCCGUU
RNAcentral lists this RNase P RNA (440 nucleotides) under Planctomycetota bacterium. Its description in RNAcentral is "Planctomycetes bacterium (sediment metagenome) RNase P RNA component class A". It matches the Rfam family "Bacterial RNase P class A". From Rfam's summary of the family: Ribonuclease P (RNase P) is a ubiquitous endoribonuclease, found in archaea, bacteria and eukarya as well as chloroplasts and mitochondria. Its best characterised activity is the generation of mature 5'-ends of tRNAs by cleaving the 5'-leader elements of precursor-tRNAs. Cellular RNase Ps are ribonucleoproteins. The record is from RNAcentral. Lineage: Bacteria; Pseudomonadati; Planctomycetota.